RNAcentral lists this ribosomal RNA (752 nucleotides) under uncultured Actinomyces sp. RNAcentral's name for it is "bacterial SSU rRNA". It matches the Rfam family "Bacterial small subunit ribosomal RNA", at positions 28 to 776 of the family's 1533-position model. The record is from RNAcentral. Lineage: Bacteria; Bacillati; Actinomycetota; Actinomycetes; Actinomycetales; Actinomycetaceae.
GACGAACGCUGGCGGCGUGCUUAACACAUGCAAGUCGAACGCUGAAGGCCCAGCUUGCUGGGUUGGAUGAGUGGCGAACGGGUGAGUAACACGUGAGUAACCUGCCCCCUUCUUUGGGAUAACGGUCGGAAACGGCUGCUAAUACCGGGUAUUCACUGUCCUUCGCAUGGGGGGUGGUGGAAAGGUUUUUUCUGGUGGGGGAUGGGCUCGCGGCCUAUCAGCUUGUUGGUGGGGUGAUGGCUUACCAAGGCUUUGACGGGUAACCGGCCUGAGAGGGUGACCGGUCACAUUGGGACUGAGAUACGGCCCAGACUCCUACGGGAGGCAGCAGUGGGGAAUAUUGCACAAUGGGCGAAAGCCUGAUGCAGCGACGCCGCGUGAGGGAUGGAGGCCUUCGGGUUGUAAACCUCUUUCGCUCAUGGUCAAGCCGCAACAGUGGUUGUGGUGAGGGUAGUGGGUAAAGAAGCACCGGCUAACUACGUGCCAGCAGCCGCGGUAAUACGUAGGGUGCGAGCGUUGUCCGGAAUUAUUGGGCGUAAAGGGCUUGUAGGCGGUUUGUCGCGUCUGCCGUGAAAUCCUCUGGCUUAACUGGGGGCGUGCGGUGGGUACGGGCAGGCUUGAGUGCGGUAGGGGAGACUGGAACUCCUGGUGUAGCGGUGGAAUGCGCAGAUAUCAAGAAGAACACCGGUGGCGAAGGCGGGUCUCUGGGCCGUUACUGACGCUGAGGAGCGAAAGCGUGGGGAGCGAACAGG